AUUGAACGCUGGCGGCAGGCCUAACACAUGCAAGUCGAACGGUAACAGGAAGAAGCUUGCUUCUUUGCUGACGAGUGGCGGACGGGUGAGUAAUGUCUGGGAAACUGCCUGAUGGAGGGGGAUAACUACUGGAAACGGUAGCUAAUACCGCAUAACGUCGCAAGACCAAAGAGGGGGACCUUCUGGCCUCUUGCCAUCGGAUGUGCCCAGAUGGGAUUAGCUAGUAGGUGGGGUAACGGCUCACCUAGGCGACGAUCCCUAGCUGGUCUGAGAGGAUGACCAGCCACACUGGAACUGAGACACGGUCCAGAGUCCUACGGGAGGCAGCAGUGGGGAAUAUUGCACAAUGGGCGCAAGCCUGAUGCAGCAAUGCCGCGUGUAUGAAGAAGGCCUUCGGGUUGUAAAGUACUUUCAGCGGGGAGGAAGGGAGUAAAGUUAAUACCUUGGCUCAUUGACGUUACCCGCAGAAGAAGCACCGGCUAACUCCGUG
RNAcentral lists this ribosomal RNA (490 nucleotides) under uncultured bacterium. RNAcentral's name for it is "partial 16S ribosomal RNA". It matches the Rfam family "Bacterial small subunit ribosomal RNA", at positions 30 to 507 of the family's 1533-position model. The record is from RNAcentral.